GCGGUGGUGGUCGGCCGCGGGACGACCGGCUUGGUGAUCACGAGCGGGGGCGGAGGUGCCGCCGGCGCCGUUGUCGUCGGUGCGGCCGCU
This 90-nucleotide transfer RNA is filed under the name Paractinoplanes ferrugineus. RNAcentral's name for it is "Actinoplanes ferrugineus tRNA-Ile". Lineage: Bacteria; Bacillati; Actinomycetota; Actinomycetes; Micromonosporales; Micromonosporaceae. The record is from RNAcentral.